RNAcentral lists this ribosomal RNA (363 nucleotides) under uncultured bacterium. RNAcentral describes it as "bacterial SSU rRNA". It matches the Rfam family "Bacterial small subunit ribosomal RNA", at positions 29 to 417 of the family's 1533-position model. The record is from RNAcentral.
AACGAACGCUGGCGGCAUGCCUAACACAUGCAAGUCGAGCGCCCGUAGCAAUACGGGAGCGGCGCACGGGUGAGUAACGCGUGGGAACCUGCCCAGAGGUCUGGGACAACCGCGGGAAACUGCGGCUGAUACCGGAUGAUUCCUGAGGGACAAAGAUUUAUCGCCUUUGGAGGGGCCCGCGUCGGAUUAGGUAGUUGGUGGGGUAACGGCUCACCAAGCCUAUGAUCCGUAACUGGUCUGAGAGGAUGACCAGUCACACUGGGACUGAGACACGGCCCAGACUCCUACGGGAGGCAGCAGUGGGGAGUAUUGGACAAUGGGGGCAACCCUGAUCCAGCAAUGCCGCGUGGGUGAUGAAGGCCU